RNAcentral lists this ribosomal RNA (492 nucleotides) under uncultured bacterium. Its description in RNAcentral is "partial 16S ribosomal RNA". It matches the Rfam family "Bacterial small subunit ribosomal RNA", at positions 29 to 507 of the family's 1533-position model. The record is from RNAcentral.
AGUGAACGCCGGCGGUAGGCCUAACACAUGCAAGUCGAACGGCAGCACAGUAAGAGCUUGCUCUUACGGGUGGCGAGUGGCGGACGGGUGAGGAAUACAUCGGAAUCUACUUUUUCGUGGGGGAUAACGUAGGGAAACUUACGCUAAUACCGCAUACGACCUACGGGUGAAAGCAGGGGAUCUUCGGACCUUGCGCGAUUGAAUGAGCCGAUGUCGGAUUAGCUAGUUGGCGGGGUAAAGGCCCACCAAGGCGACGCGCCGUAGCUGGUCUGAGAGGAUGAUCGGCCGCACUGGAACUGAGACACGGUCCAGGCUCCUACGGGAGGCAGCAGUGGGGAAUAUUGGACAAUGGGCGGAAGCCUGAUCCAGCCAUACCGCGUGGGUGAAGAAGGCCUUCGGGUUGUAAAGCCCUUUUGUUGGGAAAGAAAAGCAGCAGGUUAAUACCCCGCUGUUCUGACGGUACCCAAAGAAUAGGCAGCGGCUAGCUUCGUG